UACGGAAGGGGCAAGCGUUGUUCGGAAUCAUUGGGCGUAAAGCGCGCGUAGGCGGCCCGGUAAGUCCGCUGUAAAAGUCAAAGGCUCAACCUUUGAAUGUCAGUGGAUACUGCCGGGCUAGAGUCCGGAAGAGGCGAGUGGAAUUCCUGGUGUAGCGGUGGAAUGCGCAGAUAUCAGGAGGAACCCCAGAGGCGAAGGCGGCGCCCUGGCUCGCAACUGACGCUCAGACACGACAGCAUGGGGAGCGAACGGG
RNAcentral lists this ribosomal RNA (253 nucleotides) under uncultured bacterium. Its description in RNAcentral is "partial 16S ribosomal RNA". It matches the Rfam family "Bacterial small subunit ribosomal RNA", at positions 524 to 776 of the family's 1533-position model. The record is from RNAcentral.